ACUCAAAUGAAUAGACGGGGGCCCGCACAAGCGGUGGAGUAUGUGGCUUAAUUCGAUGCAACGCGAAGAACCUUACCUGGCCUUGACAUGCUUUAGACAGACGCUGAAAGGCGUUCUCCCUUCGGGGCUGAAGCACAGGUGCUGCAUGGCUGUCGUCAGCUCGUGUCGUGAGAUGUUGCGUUAAGUCGCGCAACGAGCGCAACCCCUGUCCUUAGUUGCCAUCAUUAAGUUGGGCACUCUAAGGAGACAAACUCUCUCUGAGAGUGGGAAGGUGGGGAUGACGUCAAGUCAGGAUGGCCCUUACGGCCAGGGCUGCACACGUACUACAAUGCUCGAUACAGAGGGACGCUACACCGCGAGGUGAUGCAAAUCUCAAAAAUCGAGCCCAGUUCAGAUUGUAGUCUGCAACUCGACUACAUGAAGUUGGAAUCGCUAGUAAUGGCGCAUCAGCUACGGCGCCGUGAAUACGUUCCCGGGCCUUGCACACACCGCCCGU
RNAcentral lists this ribosomal RNA (496 nucleotides) under uncultured bacterium. RNAcentral describes it as "partial 16S ribosomal RNA". It matches the Rfam family "Bacterial small subunit ribosomal RNA", at positions 899 to 1397 of the family's 1533-position model. The record is from RNAcentral.